This 712-nucleotide ribosomal RNA is filed under the name Alexandrium sp. tamutum. RNAcentral's name for it is "eukaryotic LSU rRNA". It matches the Rfam family "Eukaryotic large subunit ribosomal RNA", at positions 24 to 668 of the family's 3401-position model. The record is from RNAcentral. Lineage: Eukaryota; Dinophyceae; Gonyaulacales; Pyrocystaceae.
CUCCCCUAAUUUAAACAUAUAAGUAGACGAUGGAAAUGUAAACCAAAUGGGAUUCCUUAAGUAAUUGCGAAUGAACAAGGAAAUGCUCAGCUUGAAAAAUGGGGCCUUCGGCUUUGAAUUGUAAUUUUGAAAUGUAUUGCCAAUGGAGGCGCAGGUGCAAGCCUAUUGAAAGAAAGCGUCAAUGAGGGUGAGAUUCCUUUUUGUCAUUUGCAGUCCUCCGUGCACGGUAUAUAUUUGACGAGUCACACUCCUCGGCAUUGGAAUGCAAAGUGGGUGGUAAAUUCCAUGUAAAGGUAAAUAUAUUAUUGAGACUGAUAGCAAACAAGUACCAUGAGGGAAAUAUGAAAAGGACUUUGAAAAGAGAAUUAAAAGAGUCUGCAUUUGCUGAACAGAAAGCAAACAGAAUUGAUCUUGCCUGGUGAGAUUGUUGCGUCUACUUCUGCAUUUCUAUGUUGGAUGUGGGUGCGAUGGUUCUUGCCUUGAAUGUCAGCUUCUUUUUCUGCAAAUCAUUACCCUUGCACAUGAAUGGUAAUUUGCCUGCGGGUAUUGGAAUGCAUGUGUUUGCCAUGAUUUGUGAUUUGAUACAUGUGUCUGGUGGUACUUGUGUGUGUUCCUUUGUCAAAGGGGAAGGUUUGCUUCCUUGAGCACCACAAGCCCUUGCACAAUGUUGCUGGCAAAUGUUUUUUUUUUAUCCUUUUUUAAAAAGGGACCA